Molecule: ribosomal RNA, 40 nt
Filed under: Terminalia buceras
Lineage: Eukaryota; Viridiplantae; Streptophyta; Magnoliopsida; Myrtales; Combretaceae
Description: partial 28S ribosomal RNA
Source: RNAcentral
CCCGCUGAGUUUAAGCAUAUCAAUAAGCGGAGGAAAAGAA